RNAcentral lists this ribosomal RNA (541 nucleotides) under Minous quincarinatus (whitetail goblinfish). RNAcentral describes it as "partial 16S ribosomal RNA". The stretch from base 189 to 541 matches the Rfam family "Bacterial large subunit ribosomal RNA", at positions 566 to 1050 of the family's 2925-position model. The record is from RNAcentral. Lineage: Eukaryota; Metazoa; Chordata; Actinopteri; Perciformes; Synanceiidae.
GAAGCUUAACAGCCAGCCCAUCCAAACAAAAUCAACCCAAAACUAUUAAUAACCCCUAAUAAAGUUUAUUAAACAAAACAAAUCAUUUUUCCCCCUUAGUACGGGCGACGGAAAAGGGACUUGGAGCUAUAGAGAAAGUACCGCAAGGGACUGCUGAAAGAGAAAUGAAACAAUCCAGAAAAGCUUAGAAAAGCAGAGAUAAAAACUCGUACCUUUUGCAUCAUGACUCAGCUAGUGUAAUUUAAGCAAAGUGCCCUGUAGUUUGUUACCCGAAACUAAGUGAGCUACUUCAAGUCAGCCUGCAAGUAGGGCGAACCCGUCUCUGUGGCAAAAGAGUGGGGAGAACUUUGAGUAGAGGUGAUAGACCUACCGAACUUAGUUAUAGCUGGUUGCCUAAGAAAUAAAUAAAAGUUUAGCCCUUAAGUUUUUUUAUUUAUGUUCGUAUUACCUGUACUAAUAUGAAGAAGUUUAAGAAGUUAUUCAAAGGGGGUACAGCCCCUUUGAAAAAAGAUACAACUUUUACAGGAGGAUAAAGAUCAUA